UAAGACAUUAAUAACUUCAGC
This 21-nucleotide non-coding RNA is filed under the name Caenorhabditis elegans. The record is from RNAcentral. Lineage: Eukaryota; Metazoa; Nematoda; Chromadorea; Rhabditida; Rhabditidae.